AAAGUACUCGCUCCGUCCCAAAAUUCGUGUCUUAGAUUUGUCUAGAUACAGAUGUAUCAAGUCACAUUUUAGUACUAGAUACAUCCAUAUCUAAAGAAAUCUAAGACAAGAAAUUUGGGACAGAGGGAGUAGUUG
Molecule: non-coding RNA, 135 nt
Organism: Triticum aestivum (bread wheat)
Lineage: Eukaryota; Viridiplantae; Streptophyta; Magnoliopsida; Poales; Poaceae
Source: Rfam